AAUAGAUUAUUGCAGGUCCGGCUAAAUCUCUGGAUUUCUGUUCCGAUCCGGUCUAGGGGGAUGAUCAAGGACGAGACAGAGACACCCUACCGCCGGCCGGAGAAGUAAGAUAGGCGUCCGCUCGAGACGGUGGAAGGAUGGCCUAGAUGCCUGGAGGAUCUUGAUCGCAGCGUCGUCCGAUGGAGAGACGCGUGCAACCUAGUCGGCGGCAACCUGCUUCCGCUCCAUAGACCACCGGCGUCGGCGCGUCGCCGUGCAUCCUUGCCGUGCGGCAGUGUCUGCUCAACCCGUC
This 292-nucleotide long non-coding RNA is filed under the name Sorghum bicolor (sorghum). Its description in RNAcentral is "long non-coding RNA (SBIC_LNC009075)". Lineage: Eukaryota; Viridiplantae; Streptophyta; Magnoliopsida; Poales; Poaceae. The record is from RNAcentral.